CUUCAACUGUCCUUCCUAGUCUUCAUUCCAAAUAGAAUGUCCAUCUUGAUUGACAGUUUUAUAGUCCUUGCUUCUCCAGCAUUUGCUACAGACUUUUUUUUCCAUCUCUCCUCCACAACAUUACACCAUCCAGUUCUGAAAUUUCAUGAUUCUGCAUUCACCAACAUUCAACUCUUUUGGAGGCAAUAUUCUUUUUGGAAUCACUCAGAUGACAGUGAAAGUUAAUGUUCAUCUAUUAGAAUUGACUAGGCCUAUGGCCAGACCUAUGGUCAGAAUGUGGAUAGGACUUGGGACCCAGAGAGAAGCAAUCAAUCUGUACCUGACCAGAAGAGAAGAGUAUGGAGUUAGGGAGCAAGGCAGUAAUUAAUAAUGCUCCCUUGCACAGAGACAUUGCAAAGCAGGUUGAUUUUUAGAAGAAUGAGAAGAAAUAGAGAACACCUAUAUGACAUUGGAGUUUUUUUUCUCCCAGUUAUUAGAGUGAAGAAGAAAGAAAAGUAACAUUCCUUAUGCAAACACAGAAAUAUGUUGCACUUGUUUUCAAUUCUGAAAAUGCAUUUCAUAUUUGCUAGCAGUCAUGUACAAGAGAUAUUUACAGAUUGAGAUUAAAGAUUUUGUUAAAACUUUGCCAUUUUUGAGUCUGAAUUUGCCCAUGAAUUUCAUAAAGAUGAAAAACACCUUAAUUGCUGGUUGUCUGACUGUUUUAUACUCAAAAGGAAAUAUGUUUACUAAAAGUCAUAUAAUAUCAGCAUUACCUUUGCUCAGAUUAUUUUUUACAAGUCCUCAACCUUAGCCAUAGGAAAGCAAACUAUCUAGGCUCAUUCUGAUUCCUGUUUCAAGGGAAGCAUCGAAUCACACUUGGUUAAUCUCCUUCUAGUGAGAUCACAUACUAAAAUCCCCAUCAACCAACUGACAACAGGGUGAGUAAAUCGUUCUCAUGUGAUACAAGAGAGUAGAAGCCAGCAUAAGAUUCACUCUCUCAGGCAACACUAUAUUUUCCAUUAAUAGGUCUCUUUGUUGCUCCUUUCCCUAAUGUCUUCAUCCCAAAACAACUCUGAGCAUAAAUGGGAUCUCCUACUUCAUUUCCUGCAGAAAUAACUUUGUGUAUACAACGGGUCAGUUGUCAUAGAGAAGCUUGCUUUAUGUUUGCUUUGUUCUAGGUCUGUUUGCUCAGGUCAUUUCACACUAGGCAUUUUAAUGCACCCUUAACAUGGCAAUAUUGAGGAUUAUUAUGGCUUUUAUGGUAAUGGCAGGUAGCAGCCUUACUUAUAGACUCAGACUCAGGCUUUUCCCUAGAACCAACCUGGCAGAGUUUAGUUCCUUUGUUUCUUUCAUUUGUGUAUUUGAGGUAUUGAAAUACUCUCUCCAUUACAUAUUUAAAAUAUUACCUCCUGGUAGCAGAAGCAGGAAAGGCUAUUUAGGUGAUGACUAAGAAGAAAUCACUUGAGGAGAAAAGAAGCCUUGGGGUUAUCUUGAGGAUGCUCUCUGUUAGGAACCUAACCAUUUCUUCUACAGACUUGUGGCCAGAGUGAGACUCAAUAAAUACAAGAAUGGAUUGCCA
This 1558-nucleotide long non-coding RNA is filed under the name Monodelphis domestica (gray short-tailed opossum). RNAcentral's name for it is "lncRNA (ENSMODG00000033541.2)". Lineage: Eukaryota; Metazoa; Chordata; Mammalia; Didelphimorphia; Didelphidae. The record is from RNAcentral.